Helicoverpa armigera (cotton bollworm) is the source of this 377-nucleotide long non-coding RNA. RefSeq lists it as uncharacterized. The transcript is spliced from 3 exons. The record is from RefSeq and is a predicted model, not a curated record. Lineage: Eukaryota; Metazoa; Arthropoda; Insecta; Lepidoptera; Noctuidae.
AUUGCAUUUUCUAAGGUUCAUUUGAAGCAAUAUUUUUGUUUAGAAAUGUCAUCAAAAAUUGUUAUAUUUGUUUUAAUCGCUUCUAUGGCAAAUGCUGCUCAAUAUAGGCAGAGACUGCCCGAAAAACCUCCGCAAUUCAAAAAUAUACCUGGCUGUUACAUACCUGAGAGAAAUGAGGUGAUUCCUUUCGGAGCAGUCGUAAGCAAUAAGGGAUGCAUCCUCAUACAAUGUACAGUGGACUCCUUUGAAUAUACUACAUGCCCAAUAGCACAAACCCGUGAUCCCAAAUGCCGCGUGUAUCAUCCUUUUGGCACAUCGACCUACCCAGACUGCUGCCCUCAACUCAUGUGUGAUGUAUCGUAAAUACUUUGAUGUUU